CACUGCAAAAAUAUCUUGCUCAGUUAUCAAAAAACAAUUUCUAAUUAAGUAAAAUAUUGUUGUUUAUUUAUUUGUAUAGGUGAAAGCUCUUACUGCUCUUGGUGGGCAGAAUUUGGCAGACACGGUGAGGACAAUGCUGAGGAAAAUUGCCACAAACAAAGUCCUGGAGCAGCUUGGCCUCCGUGGAAAGUCAGGAAAAGUGGCGUUUGAGGACUUGAACCCUUUACAGAAUAAUAAAUAAGGCAUGCAGGGGUGUUUACAAGCAGAUGACCACAGCUGAAGUGGAUUGUGAGCUUGGAGAGGUCCUGAAACUGGCCACUUUUCGAAAGGGAGGUUCAAAAUUUGAGGAGAAGAGGAGGAAUUAAGAGGGAGGACAAAAAAGGAAAAAGAAACAAGCAAAAGAACAGAGUGAGAUGAGAGGAUUUGGGUUUCCCUGCUUGGGCUGCUGCCCCCGCGACCCGACCUCGGAUAAGCGGAAGAAGAUGGAUGGAUGGAUGGAUGGAUGGAUGGAUUUACUUCCAGGAAGAGAACCAAGAAGGGGCAGGAUACACUGACGCGCACGACCAAGACCACUGCAUUCCAUUCCAUUUAUAAAUGAUAAAUGAUAAAU
Entelurus aequoreus (snake pipefish) is the source of this 610-nucleotide long non-coding RNA. RefSeq lists it as uncharacterized. NCBI's taxonomy places the organism in Eukaryota, Metazoa, Chordata, Actinopteri, Syngnathiformes, Syngnathidae. The record is from RefSeq and is a predicted model, not a curated record. The transcript is spliced from 4 exons.